UAUCUCUGUAGAGUCUGCAUAUCAAUAAGCGGAGGAAAAGAAACUAACAAGGAUUCCCUUAGUAACGGCGAGUGAAGCGGGAGGAGCUCAAAUUUGAAAUCUUCAAGGGUUCUGACCUUGACGAAUUGUAGUUUAAAGAAGUGUUUUCGGUUAGAGGAGUAGCUAAAAGUUCCUUGGAAUAGGGACAUCAUAGAGGGUGAGAAUCCCGUAUUUGGAUUAUUCAUUCUAGCUUUGUGAUACACUUUCAAAGAGUCGGAUUGUUUGGGAAUGCAGUCCAAAAUGGGUGGUAAAUUUCAUCUAAAGCUAAAUAUUGGCGAGAGACCGAUAGCGAACAAGUACCGUGAGGGAAAGAUGAAAAGAACUUUGAAAAGAGAGUUAAACAGUACGUGAAAUUGUCAAAAGGGAAGCGUUUGACACCAGUGUUGUUUUUUCCGAAAAUCAAUUACGAAUGGCUUGAUUUUGUGUUGUAUUGACCUUAUCAGCUUUCUUCACUUUUUUCGAGUCUUUCUUAAUGCACUUUUCGGUUAACAAGUCAACAUCAAUUUCUUUUGUUGUAAAAGAGUAUUCGGAAGGUGGCCUUCUUUUCGGAGAAAGUGUUUAUAGCCCUAUACUUCUACAAUCGGAGAGAUUGAGGUCUGCAGCGUAGAUCCUUCGGGGUUAGAUACAUUUGUGCUAAGUUGUAGCUUUUCAUAGACAACUUGUUGACUAUGUUUAGUCAUGCGGCUUACUCGCUUAUGCUAUUUUACCUACGCUUAGGAUGUUGAAGACUCUACAGAGAUA
RNAcentral lists this ribosomal RNA (780 nucleotides) under uncultured Neocallimastigales. RNAcentral's name for it is "partial large subunit ribosomal RNA". It matches the Rfam family "Eukaryotic large subunit ribosomal RNA", at positions 24 to 627 of the family's 3401-position model. The record is from RNAcentral. Lineage: Eukaryota; Fungi; Neocallimastigomycota; Neocallimastigomycetes; Neocallimastigales.